Transfer RNA from Ipomoea nil (Japanese morning glory), 80 nucleotides. It matches the Rfam family "tRNA". From Rfam's summary of the family: Transfer RNA (tRNA) molecules are approximately 80 nucleotides in length. Lineage: Eukaryota; Viridiplantae; Streptophyta; Magnoliopsida; Solanales; Convolvulaceae. The record is from Rfam.
GAUGGUUUGGUCGAGUGGUCAAAGGCACCAGAUUUAGGCUCUGGUCCGAAAGGGCGUGGGUUCAAAUCCCAAAGCCGUCA